GCCUACGGGGGGCAGCAGUGGGGAAUAUUGCACAAUGGGGGAAACCCUGAUGCAGCGACGCCGCGUGAGUGAAGAAGUAUCUCGGUACGUAAAGCUCUAUCAGCAGGGAAGAAAAAAAGCCUUUGGCUUUGGACGGUACCUGACUAAGAAGCCCCGGCUAACUACGUGCCAGCAGCCGCGGUAAUACGUAGGUGGCAAGCGUUGUCCGGAUUUACUGGGUGUAAAGGGCGUGUAGCCGGGCUGACAAGUCAGAUGUGAAAUCCGGGGGCUCAACCUCCGAACUGCAUUUGAAACUGUUGGUCUUG
Molecule: ribosomal RNA, 305 nt
Filed under: uncultured bacterium
Lineage: Bacteria
Description: partial 16S ribosomal RNA
Rfam family: Bacterial small subunit ribosomal RNA
Source: RNAcentral